UGUUGCUGGGGACGAGGCUAGUGGCUAACGAGUUCGUUGAGUGGAUUCUGUUGCUGAGGUGAGCUGCCGCAUUAUUCGUGGAGGCCGAUAUUUCAGCUCUACCUAUCUUAUGUUUAUUAUUUCUUUCGGAUUUGCAUGCCCGUCGGUUAAACUUCUAUUACUCUGUUAGAUACUCCAUGGUCUUAGUAUGGGAUUUGGGUUAGAGAUUCAUUGUUUGAGUGCUCAUUAGAAAUUAUAAAUAAAUUAUAAUUUUAGUUGGAUAAUUAUUUCGUAUUUAGUAAUAUUUAAUGCGUUUGGACUUUUACAUGUUUCUCUCAGUGCUUAUAUAAAAGGUUAAGAGUACAGGAAUUGGUUUGCCUGGCGAGUAGUGUUAGCUGGGUGCCAGUCACAUCUAGGGGGUAGUUUUGGACGUGACAGUUCGCGAUGGUUAGGCCUGCUAAGGAUUUGGGAGCAGAAGCUGGUUGUGAUUCGCGAAUGCGAGGGACUUGUCACGUUCGCAAAGAAGGGCGUCUGGGCAGAUUAUAACCUUGCUAGGUCAAGAUUUUCUCAUUUUCAACUCAUUUCCCUCUUGCUUGGGCAAUUUUCGGAUGAUUUGGAAGAGCCAUUUUCAUCAUUAAUCUCGAGAAUCUGACAGGUUCAUUUGGUGGCCAUCUUGGCGCGCAUGCACAACUGCUGAGGGGACUUUAUGGUGAGCUACUUUCUACGCUACGUACCGCAGCACACAGAGUCUCCAUCGUAUUACUUACUUUGUCCUGUCUAAUUUUCAUUCCAGACAGAUGUUGUAUUAUUGUACUCCUUAGUAAAUAAUCAUGCAUUUGUGACACCGGAUUUUGGGGUAUCCUAGUUGAUGUUUAUGGAUUUGCA
This is a non-coding RNA of Nicotiana tabacum (common tobacco), 864 nucleotides long. NCBI's taxonomy places the organism in Eukaryota, Viridiplantae, Streptophyta, Magnoliopsida, Solanales, Solanaceae. The record is from RefSeq and is a predicted model, not a curated record.